RNAcentral lists this ribosomal RNA (434 nucleotides) under uncultured Lachnospiraceae bacterium. RNAcentral describes it as "bacterial SSU rRNA". It matches the Rfam family "Bacterial small subunit ribosomal RNA", at positions 341 to 792 of the family's 1533-position model. The record is from RNAcentral. Lineage: Bacteria; Bacillati; Bacillota; Clostridia; Lachnospirales; Lachnospiraceae.
ACGGGAGGCAGCAGUGGGGAAUAUUGGACAAUGGGGGAAACCCUGAUCCAGCGACGCCGCGUGAGUGAAGAGGUAUUUCGGUAUGUAAAGCUCUAUCAGCAAGGAAGAAAAUGACGGUACUUGACUAAGAAGCUCCGGCUAAAUACGUGCCAGCAGCCGCGGUAAUACGUAUGGAGCAAGCGUUAUCCGGAUUUACUGGGUGUAAAGGGAGCGUAGACGGCAAAGCAAGUCUGAAGUGAAAUGCCGGGGCUUAACCCCGGAACUGCUUUGGAAACUGUUUAGCUAGAGUGCAGGAGAGGUAAGCGGAAUUCCUAGUGUAGCGGUGAAAUGCGUAGAUAUUAGGAGGAACACCAGUGGCGAAGGCGGCUUACUGGACUGUAACUGACGUUGAGGCUCGAAAGCGUGGGGAGCGAACAGGAUUAGAUACCCUGGUA